RNAcentral lists this ribosomal RNA (234 nucleotides) under uncultured bacterium. Its description in RNAcentral is "partial 16S ribosomal RNA". It matches the Rfam family "Bacterial small subunit ribosomal RNA", at positions 102 to 334 of the family's 1533-position model. The record is from RNAcentral.
CCGACGGGUGAGUAACGCGUAUCCAACCUGCCGUCUACUCUUGGACAGCCUCUGAAAGGAAGAUUAAUACAAGAUGGCAUCAUGAGUCCGCAUGUUCACAUGAUUAAAGGUAUUCCGGUAGACGAUGGGGAUGCGUUCCAUUAGAUAGUAGGCGGGGUAACGGCCCACCUAGUCUUCGAUGGAUAGGGGUUCUGAGAGGAAGGUCCCCCACAUUGGAACUGAGACACGGUCCAA